RNAcentral lists this small RNA (197 nucleotides) under Arabidopsis thaliana (thale cress). Its description in RNAcentral is "ATSL014830". The record is from RNAcentral. Lineage: Eukaryota; Viridiplantae; Streptophyta; Magnoliopsida; Brassicales; Brassicaceae.
AAGAAAAAAAGAGUCCAAGUAAUUUCAAUUAGUUCAAUUUAAUGUGUAUUUUUUUUCUUUGAAAAUUUUAAAAAGGUGAGUAAGAAGACCACUGGAAUUGUGUUUUCAACAUCAAUUCAUGACCUAAAGCAAAUAAAGCCAGAGAUUUAGGACAUCUCCAUCCAUGAAAAACCCACAAAGUUUCUCAAACAAAAAAA